Long non-coding RNA from Gasterosteus aculeatus aculeatus (three-spined stickleback), 1517 nucleotides. The record is from Ensembl. Lineage: Eukaryota; Metazoa; Chordata; Actinopteri; Perciformes; Gasterosteidae.
GAACGCCCGGCAGCUGGCCCGGGUCGUGUGUGCCACCGUGCUGGCUGGGGAGCUCUCGCUCAUGGCUGCUCUGACCGCCGGCCACCUGGUCAAGAGUCACAUGACGCACAACAGGUGAGAGCAAACGGCUCCUACAGUCGCCCAGAGUGGACCAACCAGGUGCUGGUUUCAGACGUCUGAAAUCCUCUUUGGAAAUCAAAGCGAAUAAAUCUGCCGAUAGCUGGCUUCCUCUACGACUAUUGAAGGAACAUUUAGAUCCAAGGUGAACCUACAGGAGACUCCAGGAACGUGCACCAAGAAGGCUUCGUGAGGGCGAGGAGCCUCCUGCAGCCGGCCCAGGUCACCUGACGGGGCGGUGAAGUACGGACAAUGUGAAAGGGACUAAUCAUUCAUCAAGACACCACAUGUCCUCCAAGUGCACUCGGAGAGACACUAGUGACCAAUCUCAAUGCUGAAAAAGAGCAUAUUCAUUUUCUGUUUAUUGGGCUUUAAGCAGAGCAGUUAAUUACUGUCUUCUUCUAUUUCAACUUUUAAGAGUGCUGUCAGGUUUUUAGUGGUAUUUCUGCUGGCCUGUUGCCAAAUACACGACCAGCUGACGGGGGCCGAGUGUCCCAGUGUUCGGCUAAAACGCACUGACCGCAUGAAGGAAUCAAUACAUGAGAGACUGCUGUCCGCAUCCAAGAGGCACUUAAAUACCCAGACUGCAAGCUUCCUUCAAAAGUGCUGAGUUCACCUCCUGCACAUGUAAGGACCAAAUCAAAGGGAGGAUGAAUAAGUGAUGCUGAAACUGCUCCUCCUCAACCAAAGAGCGGUUCAGUCCCCACGGUGACCCCAGAGGGCCUCCAGGGAAUCUGGAGCGAUCUUUAUCUGACAUGAGGUGCACAUGGGGGCCACAUAGGCGCCGCCCUGUGGAAUUUAGUUAAUGAUCAGCUGCUGGGGGAAAUGUUGACGCUGCGUUUGGUGACGUCUCUAACAUGCCAGCUGUGUAACCGGGGUCUUUGUGCAACAUUUUCACAAAGAGGGGAAAACACGUCAGCAGGGCAGAAUGGAAAGAAAAUGUGUUCGAUAUAUUUUUGUAAUAAAUACAAAAUCUAUUUUGAUUGAUCAAGUCGUCUGUAAUAUGGAAUUCUAACAAUAACCUGACAGCAAACGCGGCCCCCGGCUCUCUGUGCCUCACGUGGCUCUUUAGUCCUGCUGGUGGGUUAUUGAUCACCACGGAAACGAGCCACCAUGUGCAGCCUGUGUCCCUAUGAAGUCUUGUUUGUUCCUUCUGCCCAGUGUGUUCGUACACAUUCAUGCCUGAACAGAAGGGAGAGGAAUCAAUGCAGGCAACGGAUAGGAAUCGUUUUAUUUGAUCAAUGCGAUACCAUUUGUUAAUGUACACCGUUCAAUAUUAACUAAAUCAAUGAGUACAUAUUUUGUAUGCGAUAUGCAUUCAUCCCCCCGUCUGCAAUGAACGUUCCGCUUUAUGACGCAUCACAUUUGUUCCAAAAUAAAUGCAAAUGCUCAAAAGUUAA